This 351-nucleotide ribosomal RNA is filed under the name Clostridioides difficile. RNAcentral's name for it is "bacterial SSU rRNA". It matches the Rfam family "Bacterial small subunit ribosomal RNA", at positions 62 to 422 of the family's 1533-position model. Lineage: Bacteria; Bacillati; Bacillota; Clostridia; Peptostreptococcales; Peptostreptococcaceae. The record is from RNAcentral.
UUGAGCGAUUUACUUCGGUAAAGAGCGGCGGACGGGUGAGUAACGCGUGGGUAACCUACCCUGUACACACGGAUAACAUACCGAAAGGUAUGCUAAUACGGGAUAAUAUAUUUGAGAGGCAUCUCUUAAAUAUCAAAGGUGAGCCAGUACAGGAUGGACCCGCGUCUGAUUAGCGAGUUGGUAAGGUAACGGCUUACCAAGGCGACGAUCAGUAGCCGACCUGAGAGGGUGAUCGGCCACAUUGGAACUGAGACACGGUCCAAACUCCUACGGGAGGCAGCAGUGGGGAAUAUUGCACAAUGGGCGAAAGCCUGAUGCAGCAACGCCGCGUGAGUGAUGAAGGCCUUCGGG